RNAcentral lists this transfer RNA (76 nucleotides) under Thermogemmatispora tikiterensis. RNAcentral describes it as "tRNA-Thr". It matches the Rfam family "tRNA". From Rfam's summary of the family: Transfer RNA (tRNA) molecules are approximately 80 nucleotides in length. Lineage: Bacteria; Bacillati; Chloroflexota; Ktedonobacteria; Thermogemmatisporales; Thermogemmatisporaceae. The record is from RNAcentral.
GCCGAUGUAGCUCAGCUGGUAGAGCACUCGCCUUGUAAGCGAGUCGUCGUCGGUUCGAGUCCGACCAUCGGCUCCG